AUACACGCACACACACACACUCACGAC
This 27-nucleotide ribosomal RNA is filed under the name Mammomonogamus ierei. RNAcentral's name for it is "partial 5.8S ribosomal RNA". Lineage: Eukaryota; Metazoa; Nematoda; Chromadorea; Rhabditida; Syngamidae. The record is from RNAcentral.